CCUACGGGUGGCAGCAGUGAGGAAUCUUGGUCAAUGGGCGCGAGCCUGAACCAGCCAAGUCGCGUGAGGGAAGACGGUCCUAUGGAUUGUAUACCUCUUUUGCCGGGGAGCAAAAGACGCCACGCGUGGCGUUACGAGAGUACCCGAAGAAAAAGCAUCGGCUAACUCCGUGCCAGCAGCCGCGGUUAUACGGGGGAUGCGAGCGGUAGCCGGAUGUAUUGGGGUUAAAGGGUGCGCAGGCGGAAGAUCAAGUCGGCGGUAAAAUUGAGAGGCUCAACCUCUUCGAGCCGUUGAAACUGGUUGUCGUGAGUGAGCGAGAAGUAUGCGGAAUGCGUGGUGUAGCGGUGAAAGGCAUAGAUAUCACGCAGAACUCCGAGUGCGAAGGCAGCAUACCGGCGCUCAACUGACGCUCAUGCACGAAAGUGUGGGUAUCGAACAGGAUUAGAUACCCCAGUAGUC
Molecule: ribosomal RNA, 459 nt
Filed under: uncultured bacterium
Lineage: Bacteria
Description: partial 16S ribosomal RNA
Rfam family: Bacterial small subunit ribosomal RNA
Source: RNAcentral